UCGAACGGACCGUACGCGCAGCUUGCUGCGUGUAUGGUUAGUGGCAGACGGGUGAGUAAUGCAUAGGAAUCUGCCUAGUAGUAUGGGAUAGCCACUAGAAAUGGUGGGUAAUACUGUAUAAUCCCUGCGGGGGAAAGAUUUAUCGCUAUUAGAUGAGCCUAUGUCAGAUUAGCUAGUUGGUGGGGUAAUGGCCCACCAAGGCUGUGAUCUGUAGCUGGUCUGAGAGGAUGAUCAGCCACACUGGAACUGAGACACGGUCCAGACUCCUACGGGAGGCAGCAGUGGGGAAUAUUGGACAAUGGGCGCAAGCCUGAUCCAGCUAUGCCGCGUGAGUGAGGAAGGCCUUAGGGUUGUAAAACUCUUUCAGUAGGGAAGAUAAUGACGGUAC
Molecule: ribosomal RNA, 388 nt
Filed under: uncultured Anaplasma sp.
Lineage: Bacteria; Pseudomonadati; Pseudomonadota; Alphaproteobacteria; Rickettsiales; Anaplasmataceae
Description: bacterial SSU rRNA
Rfam family: Bacterial small subunit ribosomal RNA
Source: RNAcentral